AGGCAGUGUAACGUUAGCUGGUUGUAUCUAUCUAUAACACCGGUUAACUUACUGCUGCCCUC
Molecule: microRNA precursor, 62 nt
Filed under: Scyliorhinus torazame (cloudy catshark)
Lineage: Eukaryota; Metazoa; Chordata; Chondrichthyes; Carcharhiniformes; Scyliorhinidae
Description: Sto-Mir-34-P3c_pre stem-loop
Source: RNAcentral